UGUGUAAGCCGGGGGGGCGGCAGGGGGACGAGGAAGGCGAUCCGGUUUGCUGAAGGUCAAAGCCCAGGAGCUUGUUGCGAAGGACCUGUGCAAAGGAGGUUGAUAUGAAUGGUGAGAAGUUUUUAUUUACUAGGAACCCAGAUCUGGCAUCCUACGGCUGAACACCACUCAGAUCCUAAAAGCAGCUUGAAUAGCUUAAGCCUUUCUUUGGAUCGAGAAGUGAUUAAAAAUGUUUUGCUGAAACUUCAUCACAAGAAAGUAAAACUGACUGGAUAUAAAAAUACCCAGCCCAAAAGGGAAACGUUUCAGACAAUGGAUUAAAUGAGGUGGUCAAAAUGCAAAAUUCCUGUAGAUCAUAGUCUCCCCAAGUCCAUCUGAAUACAUUAAGGAUGUGUUACAAGAAGGCUUCCCAAGUUGUGGUCAUUUGCAUUCUUUGCUGAGAUUUGGUGAAACCAUCCCUCCAUUUUUUCCUAACCUGUUUAUUUUGUCAGUCAUUCUCCUGACUUAGACAUCAUUUCCCUUUUUCUGCCUGCUGCAUCUUGCCCAACAGCUCAGCUAUAAACUGUAGCAGUCACUGUUCUUUUGUUAUUGCCUAGUAAUUCACUGGGGUCUUGAUCCUUGGCAAUGUCUCCUAUGUGAGGCCACUAAUAAUAAAUAAAACUUUUUAAAAAUAA
Aquila chrysaetos chrysaetos is the source of this 674-nucleotide long non-coding RNA. RefSeq lists it as uncharacterized. Lineage: Eukaryota; Metazoa; Chordata; Aves; Accipitriformes; Accipitridae. The transcript is spliced from 2 exons. The record is from RefSeq and is a predicted model, not a curated record.